UACGUAGGGUGCGAGCGUUGUCCGGAAUUACUGGGCGUAAAGAGCUCGUAGGUGGUUUGUCGCGUUGUUCGUGAAAACUCACAGCUCAACUGUGGGCGUGCGGGCGAUACGGGCAGACUGGAGUACUGCAGGGGAGACUGGAAUUCCUGGUGUAGCGGUGAAAUGCGCAGAUAUCAGGAGGAACACCGGUGGCGAAGGCGGGUCUCUGGGCCGAUACUGACGCUGAGGAGCGAAAGCGUGGGGAGCAAACAGG
Molecule: ribosomal RNA, 253 nt
Filed under: uncultured bacterium
Lineage: Bacteria
Description: partial 16S ribosomal RNA
Rfam family: Bacterial small subunit ribosomal RNA
Source: RNAcentral